AUGGAGGAACACCGGUGGCGAAAGCGGCUCUCUGGCCUGUAACUGACACUGAGGCUCGAAAGCGUGGGGAGCAAACAGGAUUAGAUACCCUGGUAGUCCACGCCGUAAACGAUGAGUGCUAGAUGUAGGGAGCUAUAAGUUCUCUGUAUCGCAGCUAACGCAAUAAGCACUCCGCCUGGGGAGUACGACCGCAAGGUUGAAACUCAAAGGAAUUGACA
RNAcentral lists this ribosomal RNA (218 nucleotides) under uncultured Lactococcus sp. RNAcentral's name for it is "partial 16S ribosomal RNA". It matches the Rfam family "Bacterial small subunit ribosomal RNA", at positions 698 to 915 of the family's 1533-position model. The record is from RNAcentral. Lineage: Bacteria; Bacillati; Bacillota; Bacilli; Lactobacillales; Streptococcaceae.